GGGUCGGGGUUUCGUACGUAGCAGAGCAGC
Molecule: non-coding RNA, 30 nt
Filed under: Gallus gallus (chicken)
Lineage: Eukaryota; Metazoa; Chordata; Aves; Galliformes; Phasianidae
Also listed under: 6 other names
Source: RNAcentral